Molecule: ribosomal RNA, 547 nt
Filed under: uncultured bacterium
Lineage: Bacteria
Description: bacterial SSU rRNA
Rfam family: Bacterial small subunit ribosomal RNA
Source: RNAcentral
UCCCUNCGGGAGGCAGCAGUAGGGAAUAUUGGGCAAUGGACGAGAGUCUGACCCAGCCAUGCCGUGGUGCAGGAAGAAGGCGUUAUGCGUUGUAAACUGCUUUUAUAUGGGAAGAAAUGUCCCAUGGGUGGGUCAUUGCCGGUACCAGAGGAAUAAGCCCGGGUUAAUUCGGUGCCAGCAGCGGUGUUAAUACGGGGGGUGCAAGUUUUGUCCGGAUUUAUUGGGUUUAAAGGGUGCGUAGGCGGUUUAUUAAAUCAGUGGGAAAAGUUUGGGGUUCAACCCAGAAAUUCCCAUUGAUACUGGUCGACUUGAGUUUUGCAGGGGUACAUGGAAUUGAUGUUGUAGCGGUAAAAUGCAUAAUUUCCAUCAGGACCCCCGAUAGGGAAGGCAUUCUACUGGGCAACCAAUGACGUUGAUGCAAAAAAGCAUGGGGAACCAACAGGAUUAAAUACCCUGGUAGUCCCCCCCUUAAACGAUUAUUACUCGUUGUUAUGCUCUAGUAGGUAGUGUCCAAGCGAAAGCAUAAGUAUCCCUGACUCGUACUGUU